GGGACAGUAGGGUAAAUGGUUGUAGCUGUUUUUUUUUUAAACUAGAUAGUAAAGAGAAGCAAGGAAUGGCAAUAUCAAAGAACAAGCUGAGUGUCUUUGUCAUCCUGAUGGCCUGCUAUAUUUUGGAAACACAGGAAUUAAUUGACAUUUCAAGCCUAAUUUCACAGGUAUUCAACACAAAGGAGAACCCGCAUUAUUUGAGAGGAAAAAGAGCAGUACCAGUCAAUCAUUGGACCUACAUUAUUGACAUCGAAGUCAAUGUGUCAGCUAUUGAAACUAUACAACAAAUUAAGACAGCUGUAAAUUCAACAAGUCUUCCGUACGUUAUCAACAACACCACUAAAAUCUCUGAAAUUGACAUCACCACAGUUUGCUCCCUUAAUGGAACUGGAUUCCAGUGCAGAUGUGAGAACCAGUAUCAAUGGUCAUGUGACCAGUGUCUCUCUUAUGGAAGAUGUGAUGACACUACAUCUGACACAUGUGGAUGUAUCAAUGCUAUUCCUUCAGAUGGAAUAUACUGCCAGUCGUUUUUCCAGAAAAACUUUACAGCAUGUCCAACCACUACAGCCUCUCCAACAACAGACCUUACAACAUCUGCCACAACAGAACAGAAUAAUAUUGCUUUCCCAACAAGCCAAGUGAUCACUGUUACCGAUUCAACAGUACCACCAACUCUUUACAUGUACAUGAUUGAAAUUGAGCUGAAUAUCACAGAUGUUGCAGCAAUAAAUACACUGAGAACCAGUUUGGGAAAUGCAAGUUACCCUGUUACAAUGAAUAGCC
Molecule: long non-coding RNA, 783 nt
Organism: Esox lucius (northern pike)
Lineage: Eukaryota; Metazoa; Chordata; Actinopteri; Esociformes; Esocidae
Source: Ensembl